Molecule: ribosomal RNA, 467 nt
Filed under: uncultured bacterium
Lineage: Bacteria
Description: partial 16S ribosomal RNA
Rfam family: Bacterial small subunit ribosomal RNA
Source: RNAcentral
GACGAACGCUGGCGGCGUGCUUAACACAUGCAAGUCGAACGGAAAGGCCCUGCUUUUUUGGGGUGCUCGAGUGGCGAACGGGUGAGUAACACGUGAGUAACCUGCCCUUGAUUUUGGGAUAACUUCAGGAAACUGGGGCUAAUACCGGAUAGGAGCUCCUGCCGCAUGGUGGGGGUUGGAUAGUUUCGGCGGUUGGGGAUGGACUCGCGGCUUAUCAGCUUGUUGGUGGGGUAGUGGCUUACCAAGGCUUUGACGGGUAGCCGGCCUGAGAGGGUGACCGGCCACAUUGGAACUGGGAUACGGCCCAGACGCAUACGGGAGGCAGCAGUGGGAAAUAUUGCACAAUGGGCGGAAGCCUGAUGCAGCGACGCCGCGUGCGGGAUGACGGCCUUCGGGUUGUAAACCGCUUUCGCCUGUGACGAGGCGUGAGUGACGGUAAUGGAUAAAGAAGCACCGGCUAACUACGU